UACGAAGGUGGCAAGCGUUACUCGGAAUUACUAGGCGUAAAGCGCAGGUAGGUGGUUUGGUAAGUCUGCUGUGGAAGCUCCCGGCUUAACUGGGAGAGGUCAGCGGAAACUGCCAAGCUUGAGUGUGGGAGAGGGUACUGGAAUUCCCGGUGUAGCGGUGAAAUGCGCAGAGAUCGGGAGGAACACCAAUGGCGAAAGCAGGUACCUGGACCACUACUGACACUAAGCUGCGAAAGCUAGGGGAGCAAACAGG
RNAcentral lists this ribosomal RNA (253 nucleotides) under uncultured bacterium. RNAcentral's name for it is "partial 16S ribosomal RNA". It matches the Rfam family "Bacterial small subunit ribosomal RNA", at positions 524 to 776 of the family's 1533-position model. The record is from RNAcentral.